AUACACAGAGAACCACGUGGAGGAAAAGCACGCGAGUUUGGAGCGGGUGGAGCAGGAACAGAGGUGGACUGGAAUGUCACACGACGGGGCAGCUGGAAGGGCACCACUGAGUUCAGUACUUCAAAAUUGCCGUGCUCUACCUCUCCCCAGUGCACAAAAACACUCUCCACACCAAGCUGCUGCUGCUGGGGGAUGGAGGGAUGGCGUCAGCGAUUCAAGACUGUUUUUCCUACCUGUUCAGCACUUCUUUCAGCGAUAUGAAGUUAAAUCCAGUCUUUCCCUGUCUCCAGGCAUCAUCGCCAUCAACAUACAGCCAUACUCCAGGAUUGCCCAUCUUCAACAUAAACGGACUCUCCUGGACUCCACUUCCCACAUCAGUCACAGCCACACUUCCUGAGAAAGAAGUCUACACUCUUCAUUCACUUUCAUUCACCCACUUCCAACCUGGCUCCUGUUACCACUGGACCGUCAAAAGUGACUCUUGUCAAAGUCACUAUUCUGGCUACCUAUUGCUGUGUAAUAACCUCCUCAAAAUUUAGUAUCUUUAAAAAACAA
This 555-nucleotide long non-coding RNA is filed under the name Homo sapiens (human). Its description in RNAcentral is "HSALNT0365185". Lineage: Eukaryota; Metazoa; Chordata; Mammalia; Primates; Hominidae. The record is from RNAcentral.